Molecule: ribosomal RNA, 502 nt
Filed under: uncultured Sphingobacteriales bacterium
Lineage: Bacteria; Pseudomonadati; Bacteroidota; Sphingobacteriia; Sphingobacteriales
Description: bacterial SSU rRNA
Rfam family: Bacterial small subunit ribosomal RNA
Source: RNAcentral
CGCCUUGCCAGCCCGACUCAGAAACUUAAAGGAAUUGACGGGGCCCGGCACAAGCGGUGGAGCGUGUGGUUAAUUCGAUGAUACGCGAGGAACCUUACCUGGGCUCAAAUGUAUGUUGACGUAUUCUGAAAGGGAUACUUCUUCGGACAAUAUACAAGGUGCUGCAUGGUUGUCGUCAGCUCGUGCCGUGAGGUGUCGGGUUAAGUCCCAUAACGAGCGCAACCCUAUCAUUAGUUGCCAUCAGGUCAAGCUGGGGACUCUAAUGAAACUGCCUACGCAAGUAGUGAGGAAGGUGGGGAUGACGUCAAAUCAGCACGGCCCUUACGUCCAGGGCUACACACGUGCUACAAUGGCCGGUACAAAGGGCAGCUACCUGGUGACAGGAUGCUAAUCUCAAAAGCCGGUCUCAGUUCGGAUCGGAGUCUGCAACCCGACUCCGUGAAGCUGGAAUCGCUAGUAAUCGCGCAUCAGCCAUGGCGCGGUGAAUACGUUCCCGGGCCUU